GACGAACGCUGGCGGCGUGCCUAAUACAUGCAAGUUGAGCGCUGAAGGUUGGUACUUGUACCGACUGGAUGAGCAGCGAACGGGUGAGUAACGCGUGGGGAAUCUGCCUUUGAGCGGGGGACAACAUUUGGAAACGAAUGCUAAUACCGCAUAAAAACUUUAAACACAAGUUUUAAGUUUGAAAGAUGCAAUUGCAUCACUCAAAGAUGAUCCCGCGUUGUAUUAGCUAGUUGGUGAGGUAAAGGCUCACCAAGGCGAUGAUACAUAGCCGACCUGAGAGGGUGAUCGGCCACAUUGGGACUGGGACACGGCCCAAACUCCUACGGGAGGCAGCAGUAGGGAAUCUUCGGCAAUGGACGAAAGUCUGACCGAGCAACGCCGCGUGAGUGAAGAAGGUGUUCGGAUCGUAAAACUCUGUUGGUAGAGAAGAACGUUGGUGAGAGUGGAAAGCUCAUCAAGUGACGGUAACUACCCAGAAAGGGACGGCUAACUACGU
RNAcentral lists this ribosomal RNA (496 nucleotides) under uncultured bacterium. RNAcentral describes it as "partial 16S ribosomal RNA". It matches the Rfam family "Bacterial small subunit ribosomal RNA", at positions 28 to 506 of the family's 1533-position model. The record is from RNAcentral.